CCAGAGAGUAGGAUUGGUGCCUUCGGGAACUCUGACACAGGUGCUGCAGUGGCUGUCCGUCAGCUCGUGUCGUGGGAUGUUCGGUUAAGUCCGCUAACGAGCGCAACCCUCGCUGUGUGUUACAAGUGUCACACGGAACUGCCGGUCAUAAACCGGAGGAAGGUGGGGAUGACGUCAAGUCAGCAUGGCCUUUAUAUCCUGGGCUACACACACGCUACAAUGGGAAGGGACAAUAGGUUGCGAAGCCGCGAGGCGGAGCCAAUCCAGCAAAACUUCCCUCAGUUCAGAUUGCAGGCUGCAACUCGCCUGCAUGAAGUUGGAGUUGCUAGUAAACGCAGGUCAGCCAUACUGCGUUGAAUACGUUCCCGGGGCUU
Molecule: ribosomal RNA, 374 nt
Filed under: uncultured Levilinea sp.
Lineage: Bacteria; Bacillati; Chloroflexota; Anaerolineae; Anaerolineales; Anaerolineaceae
Description: bacterial SSU rRNA
Rfam family: Bacterial small subunit ribosomal RNA
Source: RNAcentral